UGAAGGAUUAAAAAGAUUAGUAUUUGAAAAAAUAAAAAUUAAAAAAAAUGGAAAAUAUUAAAAAAGAGUAUUUGGGAGGAAAGGAAGAGAAGUGGGUGUAAAGGAAUAGAUACAGCUUGGAAUUUGGAAACCAAACUAAGAUCGAAGACCCCACACUUCUUCACCUCCUUCUUUCCUUUUCAACCCUUCUUCUUCAUCUUCUUCAUCUUCUUCAUCUUCUUCCUCAAUCCUCUCUCUCACCAACCUCUUCUUCAACUUCAAUUUCAAGUUGAAAAUGGGAAGCAAAGCACCAAGCUGGGCUGAUCAGUGGGGUUCAGGAAAUUACGGAGUGGAAGACGACGACAACAACAAUGCGGUCACAAAGAAAGGGAGCAGCAAUGGGAAUAGUAGCAAGAAGAUGGCAGAGGUAAAGGCUGCAGCUUCAGCUGGAUUUGUGAAGGCAAAGGCUGUUGCAACUGUGGGUGCUCAAAAAGUGAAAUCUGGAACUUCGGUAGGCAUCAAAUGGGUCAAGAAUCAGUACCAGAAAAAGGUCUCCAAAUGACUCCAAAUAUGUUUAGGCCUCUCCAUUUUAUUUUCUUUUUAUUGGUCUUUAAAUAUAGCUUUGUAGUCUGAAAACUUUUGUAGUCUUUUUUAGUUUCCUGCAUUUUGUCAAACUCUUUUCCAUAAACUUCAAACGACAAAUGAGAUAUCAUAUCAUAAAUUGCUAUAA
Cucumis melo (muskmelon) is the source of this 709-nucleotide long non-coding RNA. RefSeq lists it as uncharacterized. NCBI's taxonomy places the organism in Eukaryota, Viridiplantae, Streptophyta, Magnoliopsida, Cucurbitales, Cucurbitaceae. The transcript has 2 exons. The record is from RefSeq and is a predicted model, not a curated record.